AUGAUAUCAUGGCCGUAUUCGACCAUUUCUACAGCCUGGGGGGGCAACUUCUCCGCCCUCAACUCUGCCAUGAUCGCUUUACUGCCGAAGAAAGACGGGGCUUCAUGCAUGCGCGACUUCAGACCGAUCAGCCUCAUUCAUUCGAUCGCCAAGCUGAUCUGCAAAGUUCUGUCAAUGAGAUUGGCGUCGGUCAUCGGGACGAUCAUAUCCCCAGCACAGUCAGCUUUCCAAAAGACGAAGUGCAUCCAUGACAGUUUCUUAUUCGUUCAGAACAAUGUGCGAUCUCUACAUCACCGUAAAACCCCGGCUCUGUUACUGAAGCUUGACAUUGCAAAGGCAUUCGACAGCAUCUCAUGGGAAUUUCUUCUUGAGCUUCUCGACAAAAUGGGUUUUCCGGCGCGCUGGCGUGAUUGGGUAACCCUGCUCCUUUCCACAUCCUCGUCCUCCUACCUCCUGAAUGGCGUCCCGGGCAGCACGUUCAUACACCUGCGUGGGCUGAGACAAGGCGACCCCCUCUCUCCGCUGUAG
RNAcentral lists this ribosomal RNA (528 nucleotides) under Triticum aestivum (bread wheat). RNAcentral describes it as "partial small subunit ribosomal RNA". Lineage: Eukaryota; Viridiplantae; Streptophyta; Magnoliopsida; Poales; Poaceae. The record is from RNAcentral.